RNAcentral lists this ribosomal RNA (1326 nucleotides) under Lactobacillus sp. Its description in RNAcentral is "bacterial SSU rRNA". It matches the Rfam family "Bacterial small subunit ribosomal RNA", at positions 91 to 1405 of the family's 1533-position model. Lineage: Bacteria; Bacillati; Bacillota; Bacilli; Lactobacillales; Lactobacillaceae. The record is from RNAcentral.
GUGAGUGGCGAACUGGUGAGUAACACGUGGGAAACCUGCCCAGAAGCGGGGGAUAACACCUGGAAACAGAUGCUAAUACCGCAUAACAACUUGGACCGCAUGGUCCGAGUUUGAAAGAUGGCUUCGGCUAUCACUUUUGGAUGGUCCCGCGGCGUAUUAGCUAGAUGGUGGGGUAACGGCUCACCAUGGCAAUGAUACGUAGCCGACCUGAGAGGGUAAUCGGCCACAUUGGGACUGAGACACGGCCCAAACUCCUACGGGAGGCAGCAGUAGGGAAUCUUCCACAAUGGACGAAAGUCUGAUGGAGCAACGCCGCGUGAGUGAAGAAGGGUUUCGGCUCGUAAAACUCUGUUGUUAAAGAAGAACAUAUCUGAGAGUAACUGUUCAGGUAUUGACGGUAUUUAACCAGAAAGCCACGGCUAACUACGUGCCAGCAGCCGCGGUAAUACGUAGGUGGCAAGCGUUGUCCGGAUUUAUUGGGCGUAAAGCGAGCGCAGGCGGUUUUUUAAGUCUGAUGUGAAAGCCUUCGGCUCAACCGAAGAAGUGCAUCGGAAACUGGGAAACUUGAGUGCAGAAGAGGACAGUGGAACUCCAUGUGUAGCGGUGAAAUGCGUAGAUAUAUGGAAGAACACCAGUGGCGAAGGCGGCUGUCUGGUCUGUAACUGACGCUGAGGCUCGAAAGUAUGGGUAGCAACAGGAUUAGAUACCCUGGUAGUCCAUACCGUAAACGAUGAAUGCUAAGUGUUGGAGGGUUUCCGCCCUUCAGUGCUGCAGCUAACGCAUUAAGCAUUCCGCCUGGGGAGUACGGCCGCAAGGCUGAAACUCAAAGGAAUUGACGGGGGCCCGCACAAGCGGUGGAGCAUGUGGUUUAAUUCGAAGCUACGCGAAGAACCUUACCAGGUCUUGACAUACUAUGCAAAUCUAAGAGAUUAGACGUUCCCUUCGGGGACAUGGAUACAGGUGGUGCAUGGUUGUCGUCAGCUCGUGUCGUGAGAUGUUGGGUUAAGUCCCGCAACGAGCGCAACCCUUAUUAUCAGUUGCCAGCAUUAAGUUGGGCACUCUGGUGAGACUGCCGGUGACAAACCGGAGGAAGGUGGGGAUGACGUCAAAUCAUCAUGCCCCUUAUGACCUGGGCUACACACGUGCUACAAUGGAUGGUACAACGAGUUGCGAACUCGCGAGAGUAAGCUAAUCUCUUAAAGCCAUUCUCAGUUCGGAUUGUAGGCUGCAACUCGCCUACAUGAAGUCGGAAUCGCUAGUAAUCGCGGAUCAGCAUGCCGCGGUGAAUACGUUCCCGGGCCUUGUACACACCGCCCGUCACACCAU